AGCUCCAAUAGCGUAUAUUAAAGUUGCUGCAGUUAAAAAGCUCGUAGUUGCAUUUCCGAGGCAAGGGAUUAGUCCGACCUUUGGUGGGUAUUUAAUCCUCUUGCCUCGUCCUUGAGUGGUGCUUCUUGGUAUUAAGUUAUCGAGGAGAUAGCCGCUCAUCGUUUACUGUGAGAAAAUUAGAGUGUUCAAAGCAGGCUUAUGCCGUUGAAUAUAUUAGCAUGGAAUAAUAAGAUAGGACCUCGGUACUAUUGUGGUGGUUUGAGAACCAAGGUAAUGAUGAAUAGGGACAGUUGGGGGUAUUCGUAUUCAGUUGUCAGAGGUGAAAUUCUUAGAUUUACGGAAGACGAACUACUGCGAAAGCAUUUACCAAGGAUGUUUUCA
RNAcentral lists this ribosomal RNA (381 nucleotides) under uncultured marine Chaetocerotaceae. RNAcentral's name for it is "SSU rRNA". It matches the Rfam family "Eukaryotic small subunit ribosomal RNA", at positions 587 to 972 of the family's 1831-position model. Lineage: Eukaryota; Bacillariophyta; Thalassiosirophyceae; Chaetocerotales; Chaetocerotaceae. The record is from RNAcentral.